Molecule: unclassified non-coding RNA, 329 nt
Filed under: soil metagenome
Description: partial contains 5.8S ribosomal RNA, internal transcribed spacer 2, and large subunit ribosomal RNA
Rfam family: 5.8S ribosomal RNA (bases 1-120)
Source: RNAcentral
GAUGAAGAACGUAGCGAAAUGCGAUAAGUAAUGUGAAUUGCAGAAUUCAGUGAAUCAUCGAAUCUUUGAACGCACAUUGCGCCCCUUGGUAUUCCGAGGGGCAUGCCUGUUCGAGCGUCAUUAUAACCCCUCAAGCUCAGCUUGGUGUUGGGGCCUGCUGCACUGGCAGCCCUUAAAAUCAGUGGCGGCGCCAUCUGGCUCUAAGCGUAGAAAUUCUUCUCGCUAUGGAGUCCUGGUGGAUGCUUGCCAUCAACCCCCAAUUUUUCUAUGGUUGACCUCGGAUCAGGUAGGGAUACCCGCUGAACUUAAGCAUAUCAAUAAGCGGACGA